Molecule: long non-coding RNA, 538 nt
Organism: Toxotes jaculatrix (banded archerfish)
Lineage: Eukaryota; Metazoa; Chordata; Actinopteri; Toxotidae
Exons: 4
Source: RefSeq, a predicted model, not a curated record
GGUCGAAGAGCAGGUAAAGGUACUUGAUGGUUUCAGCGAGGAAGAAAGACUCCAUCCUGUUGUCCAGCUGGUGAUCUCGCAGGUCUUUAACCUACAGGGGGAGAGACAGCAUCAGGAGUACGUGAUUUAAAGGCCGGGCCAGAAGGCCUCCAGAGACUGGAACACAGGCAUGGAGACGGUUCCUUUAUGCAUCUGCACCCACAGGACGUAGGUGUGGCUGCCUGGCUCAGAGGCACCUGAGGGAAGAGGAGAGUGUUACCCAGGAACAUGCUGAGCAGCUCCUCAUCCUGCAGCAUGAUGGCUCCUUUCACCAGAUACUCAAAGUAGGAGUCCACCCCUGCUCCGAUGCCGGCGUCCUGAGCCACCCAUUUCUUGGACACAAUGUCAAUGUGGUUCCCCACCUGGACAGGAAGACAGACAGAUCUGGUUUUCCACAGGGCCCUCAGAGCUCGGCGGGCUGUGUUCUCAAACGUUGCAUCUCCGGUUAGUCGGCUCAGCGUGGCAAACUCCAGGAUGAAGGUUCCCACGCCAGCGGUGC